ACAAAAUAUGGGCAACGUGCAAAUUAAAUAAUAAUAUUAAUAGUAAUAGAAAGAGAUAAUUAUAUUAUACUUCUUCUCUAAAGACGUUACACUGAUGAAUGCUUCAAUUCGUAAGAGCCAUAUCGAAUCGAUAUAUAAUAACGAGUUGAAACAUGACACGCGGAAAAAACGUUGACGACCUAACGAAAUGGCAGACGAAUAAUACAAGCGUGACACGAGCAUUUGGUUAAAGCAGACCAAAGUCUUUAGCGAUAUAUAUAUAACUACAAUGGCAGCUGCGCACUUCCUCAAUUCAUAUAUUCCGGGCAACGAGAGAAUAAUGUCUACAAAAAGGAGAGAAAUGAAACGGGUAGGGAUUACGGAAGGGAUCGUCAAAAGAGCCGUGCAAGAUUCGCGAAGGGAUCUUCCGCAAAAAUGGAAAGGUUAAGAUUAUCGCAGCAAUUUAGAUUUUUAUGUUUUCUAUAAUAAAAUGACUGCCUAAAACGUUGACGUAGAACGAAAGUAGGCCUGAUAACUGAAGAUAAACCGAAACGGGAAGGAUUAAGAUUACACGCAAAGAAUGAUUUUGUUAAAAUACAUAUAUCUAAAAAUUUAGAUGGAUACAGAUCUGAAAAUAAUUUUGUUAGGCUGAUUAUGUAGGAAACUCACAAGCACGAUCGAUAAGCAAUGCUGCAAAAAGUCUUGACAUUCUAGCAACUAGCUUGAGCGUCUUGCAUAAUUAUUUUGACAGCCCAAAAAUUAUUUUUAGAUCUGUAUAUCUAGCUAAAUUUUUAGAUACUUUAGCAAAACUGUUUCUUUCGUAUAAUUAUGAGAUACUUCCGAAAAUUCGUUUGCCCUCGCUUGUUCAAGGAAGCUUUUGCGCCGACGAUGAUAUUAACACGGACCUAUUGGAGAAAGGAGUAAAUUAUGCACGUAUAGACGUGUUGCGUAAUACAUUGUAUACAACUUUGCCUUUUACACGUUCGGCUUAUAUGGGACGAGUAUAAUUUAACCGGCUAAUUAUUUAUCCGCGCACAAUGGUCACGAAUCGCUCCAACGUCGACCUGCGGCAAAGGAAGACAAAGUGGUUCCCUUGCGCGAUUUGUUCCGCGUAUAGUGAAUUACGGAGAGUGGCGAAAGUAUUCGCCCAUUCAUCAUUUAACGUUCAAAUGAAGAAUUUCCAGGCAAGAUUAAAAUUUCAUGAACUCGAAGUUUUAUCCCAAAUUGUACGUUUCCUGUUCAAAUGCGCGAAAAUAUUACAUCGGUGUAAAUGUAUAUCGUCUAGUUAAGUCACUGCGUGAAAGUAAUGUGAAAAAAAUUCUUCAAAGAAUAAACACAAAUCUAUUUAAUAAUUUCCUUAUCUGCAAACAAAAUCCAUAUUAAAUUAACUAUAUCAAGUAAUAUGUGUUGCAUUUGAACAUUAAUACAUAAGAAAAGAGAGGUUUAUUGUCCUGUCAUUGUCUUAACAUUAGAAUGAUGAAGCAAUUUUAAAUUAACUAAUAAGAUUGUCUUGCUAUUCUUUAAAGUAAUAUCCUUAAUAUAAUCAUUUAUUCGGAGAUUCUAAAGAGAUUUAAAAUGCAGCAUUAACUAAAGAGGCGGCACAUCUAUAAAACGAAACUAUGGAGAAUUUGAGGAUAACCUGAACCAUAUAUUGAACAAUAUAUUGUUAACUUCGUGACUACUUAAGAUAUUUAUAUGUAUAAUGACGAUAAUAAUUUUUAUAUAUACGACUAAUUUUGUAUAAUACAUUUAAACUGAUCACUAAGAAUGACGUAAUUUAAAAGGUCGAAACAUCUGAUAAAGAUAAACAUAACACGUAUUUAUGUAAUGUAAUUUAUGUAUUUAUGUAACGUGGUAUAGAAAUAUUUAAAUAUAUUGUGUAGCACUAA
Wasmannia auropunctata (little fire ant) is the source of this 1868-nucleotide long non-coding RNA. RefSeq lists it as uncharacterized. The record is from RefSeq and is a predicted model, not a curated record. Lineage: Eukaryota; Metazoa; Arthropoda; Insecta; Hymenoptera; Formicidae. The transcript is spliced from 3 exons.